GGCAUCAUAGCCUGAUCCCAGAUCAAUUUGUGCUUUUGCCUUUUGUCAUUGUCAAGCAAAACGGUUUGGCCAUGACAGAGUGGAAAGUUAGUUAAAGAGGUUCUGGAUUUCAGGCUAUAGGCUUCAUGCAUCAACUACUUCAUUGAUGGCUGAAUUCUAUUAUCAUUUUUUUUUAUAGCAAAUCUUGUAAAUUCAUGUUGUAUAUUUUUACCAUACAAAUGGAGAAAAUUGCAUUUGUUAAUCUGACCCCUCAGUUUCAUUGGGUUACGGUUAUGACCUGGCUGCCAGUUCCAUUUCCAAGGCCUGAGUGCUGGGCAACAAACAAUUGGGAGGAAAACUAUAGACAUUUUGUUAUUUUGAACAUUUCCUGCAGUCUCUAUAACUUGUUAAAGUUGACUAUUGUACAAAGUAUGUUGAAAAGCUGGGGAAUCAUGCUCCACUCACACCAAACAAUGGUUGUUCAAAUCUAGGCUAUUAUAAUCAAGUUAUAUAGCUUAGUAUGUUAUAGCUGUAGAAAGGUAGCAGCUCAUAAGAUCAAAAGGAUGAGAAUGUUUGUUCAGGCAGUUUGUCUUGUUGAUUUUGUUAAGUGGGAGAGAAAAAAACGGCACUUAUGCUGUUGGGAAAUUUCGUAUUAAUAUUUUUGAGUAUCAAAUAAAUUCUCAACAAAAGAUGUAACAAGCUGCUAGAAUCAAGGGCGUAUCUAAACUUGUAUUUACGGUAUUUCACCGGCCCGCCCAACCUCGUCAGCUGUCCGGAACUAAUCAAAAGAAAACUUCCGGAGGAGGUGAAGAGGUGUGAAAAGGUGAAGCCACCAUCUGAUAACAAAGAAGAUGUUCACUGUAGCCUUCUCUUCUCACAUAACAGUAGGAACAAAGUAGAUUUUUUCUUGUAGUCUACUUGGUAACUAUGUCUCACGAACUCGCUUUUCGUUGUCGUGUCACCUCCAUUAUGGAAGCUUUGACAGCAACAGUCGUGCAAGAAAUAAGUCAAUUUAUGGGAGAAAGCUAUGCUGCUCUUCGAGUGGAAAUGUUGCAUGAACAAAAUAAAAAAGAGACAAGGAUGGAGAAGCCAGCGAACUGCCUUAAGAACGUUUCAAAACCUGUUAUCCCACCAAGUUUGGGAAACUUUCCAAUCGUGGGGCAAAUCCUCAAUAAACAAGAGGCCAACUAUCAUUGGCUAGAAGACGGUGCUGUUUUUGAAGGCCUAGCAUCACCGGAGACGGAGACGGAGAGACGAGAGCCAUCACAGCCCGCUGGUCAGAUUACAGACACGGUACCAUGGCCAGUAUGGCUCAUCAAACAGGAGGAAAUGGCUGAUGAUGAUCUGGAAUCGGAAGGUUACGGCGAGUGGAUUCCAGAGACUCACAAGGCCAACCAGAAUAUCAGGGGAGAAAGUGAUGAGGACGAGAGAAGUCCGGCCUCUGGGGGAUCCAAAGAACUUGGACUCGACGACUUCAAGAGAGAACAGAGUCCGUUGCUGGUGUCAGCUGAGGAUACUGCGACACCCAUGAAGACAAAGUAUGAAACACGCAUGUUAAAACGCACUGGGAAGCCACGUUUUCGCUGCGAUAUCUGCGGUGAGAAAUUCCAGCGUCAGAGCGGCUUGACCAGGCACCAGCGGCACAAACACAACACCGUGAAAACCUACAGUUGCACUGUGUGUGGGAAAGGGUUCACCUACAUCAAAUCCCUCAACACGCAUGAGCUCAUGCACUCUGACCUCUCUAUCCGUUCAACUAUAACUCUGGAUGAAGCCAAGGCAAGGAAAAGAGGUCUGACUGAUGAACCCACAGACAGAAAUGCAGCAGGAGAUGUGAGUUGUGUAGAAUGUUGCCCAUUACCAGUACCUUGAAGAUGCUUGACUGAUCAAAGUUUCUAUUGUUUUGAUGUGUUUUUCUAGAUGAUCAGUGCCAUCCUUCACUCAAAGCCAGGUGGAGAAAAGGUAUUCCGGGAGUAUAGGAACACCAAAGGUCUUACAGAUAGCACACGGAGACUGAUGGUGAACAUUAUUGUGGCCGACAUGAUGGAAAAUCAUGGGUACGUAUGUUGACAAAUGGUAUAUUUAACAGUGUAUGAUUUGUCAUACUUAAAGGUAUUAGUCACCCCAAAAUGAAAGUCUGCUCAAUGAUUUCAGACCUUAAAAGCAGACUGUCAAUAUACUGUAUGUCCACAUCCCACACCAUUGCUUGAUAGAUUUUUGUUGCCAAUUCUUUCUGUUCAUUUUGAGGUAUUGUUUGUAUAUCUACAAACCAAUGGUUCAGAAUGGAAACAUGGCUUGACAGUAGUGUACUUUUGAGGUAUGAAAACAUCUUAAAAGCUUUCAUUUUAGGGUGCCCUUUGACACCAGCUCCAUUACUGUGGCAUUGUGAUUUUAGGUGGAUCUGAAACACCAGUCGUGCAUGCAUUCCCUGUAGAGUACCAGCCUGUCUGUUAAUACUGAGGGGGUUUCCCCAGAACCAUCCCUCAGCUUUAGAUCAAAACAUGUAGUGGGGCUUCAGUUUUGCUGAGAAAUGAAUCACUGAUUAUCGCUUUUACUAGAAUUGUUGGUACUUUAUUUUAUCUUCCUCAAAGUAGGAUCCCCCCAUCAAGUGUCCGCACCAACUACGCCCUGGGGAUUGUGACUUUAUUCCCCUACUUGAAUGAUCCAGAUUCAGAGCAUGGUUAUGUAAGUAUGAACAGAGGACUGAAUUCUCUCAGGGGAUACCAGGCCUACAGUUCCAGGAUGUUAAAUUAAAUGGUGUUGAUCAUUUUGAACUGUUUUCUUUUUGGUUGACAGGAACAAUAUUACGACGCAGCUAGUGGUUCAGGUUAUCUGACCUGGAGAAUAAAGACAGUGGGGCGCAACAAAUCAUGUAAGAUCAAGAGGAGAACCAAGUCCACCUACCAAAAUGGUCCCAAGGCUCAACCCAGUUCCCCUUCAGCUGUUGAGGAACUGUUAGGUGAUGAAUGCAAAGACACAGCUAAGUUCCUCCUGCACGGUAUUAUCCCAAUUCUUUGCUAAAGGGUCCAUCACAAUACCCACAUCUUAUUUUCACUCAUCUGUUAUCAGUUGAUCGAGACAUUUGGUAAAUCAUUGUUGGAUUGUUUUUGUAAUGUCCAUCAGAUUCUAGUUAGAGCUCUUUAGCAAAUGGUGGUAAUGGUAGGGAGUUUUUUUUAGCUGAAUUUUCCCUGAAAGUUACAUCUUUGUAAUCUUUCAGACGAGCAAGUGUCCAUGUCUGAGGUCUCUAUCUGCUCAGUUGGGUCUGAUUCCUCUGGAUCAGCUUUAACUCUGGAGAAAACGAAGGCAAGAAAAAGACGUCUGACUGAUGAACCUACAGACAGAAAUGCAGCCAGAGAUGUGAGUUGUGUAAAAUGUUGCGGUUAGCGCAACUACUAGCGCGUUAGUGAUAUUACUUUAAAACACCUGCAGCUGUUUCUGUUCCGCCUAUUUACAUACCCUUGUCUUCUUGCCCAUUACCAGUACCUUGAAGAUGCUCGACUGAUCACAAGGCUUCUAUUGUUUUGAUGUGUUUUUCUAGAUGAUCAGUGCCAUCCUUCACUCAAAGCCAGGUGGCGAAAAGGUAUUCCGGGAGUAUAGGAAAACCAAAGGUCUUACGGAUAGCACACGGAGGCUGAUGGUCAACAUUAUUGUGGCCGACAUGAUGGAAAGUCAUGGGUACGUGAAUAAUUCAAUGUUAGAAAUGUGUGAUGACCAAAGCUGUAUUAUGUUUAACUGCAUGAUUUUAGUCAAACUUCUAGUACCUGUGUGUUCAUACUGGGGGGGGGGUUUCCCCCGGCACCAUCCAUCAGCUUUAGAUCAAACCAUGUAGCAGGGCUCACUGACGUUUUGUUGAGAAAUGAAUCACUGAUGGUAGCUUUUACCAGAAUUUUUAUUCAAUUUAUUUUUUAUUCAACCUUUUAUUUAACUAGGCAAGUCGCUUCAAAUUCAAAAAACGUUUUCUUUCCUGAGGGAACUUCCUAUGUACUGAUGGGUGGAUGCAUAUAAUACACAUCAAAACAUAACAGUAUUUUAUUUUAAACUAUUUGUCUUUUUUUGUAUUCUUCCUCGAAGGAGGAUCCCCCCAUCAAGUGUCCGCACCAACUACGCCCUGGGGAUUGUGACUUUAUUCCCCUACUUGAAUGAUCCAGAUUCAGAGCAUGGUUAUGUAAGUAUGAACGGAGGACUGAAUUCUCUCAGGGCAUACCAGGCCUACAGUUCCAGGACAUUAAAAUGGCGUUCAUCUUUUUUAAAAACUGUUUUCUUAUUGAUUGACAGGAAAAAUAUUACGAUGCAGCUAGUGGGUCUGGUUACCUGACCUGGAGAAUAAAGACAGUGGGGCGCAACACGUCAUGUAAGACCAAGAAGAGAACCAAGCCCACCUAUCAAAAUGGUCCCAUGGCUCAGCGAAGUUGCCCUUCAGCUGUUGAGCAACUGUCGGGGGAUGAAUGCAGAGAGGCGAUAUCUGUGCUUCAGCAUACAACAACUAAUGAGUCACUGGUUCGAGAGAAGAUGAUGGCGACGUUCCAAUACAGGCAGGAGGUGGUUCAUGAUCCGGAGAAGUCCUCAACUGUCCUAGAUGUCUUCCCCAGAUUCCUUGACACUACAGGCUUGGUAAGACUGUAUGAAUAGAAUUCAUCAUGUUUUAGUGAUUUUAAAAGAAAGUGGAAAGAUAAUUUUGUGAAUUUUUUGUUGUUGUUGAAUGUACUUCAGAUCAACCAAGAUUUCACCAGACUUUUCGGAGAGGUGGUGUCUGGGACAUUUAUGGCGAAGUGGCCAACAUUUUUCAAACCCAGGGUCAUCGCAGAUUGCAAAACCCUUCCCUUCAGCGAACCUGUGGAAGACCUCCUCUCAUCUGCGCAGCAGGAAUCCAAUGAUUAUGGUACUAGUGCAGAAUUCAAAUAUGUUCUUUGGUAUUUCCAAUGACUUUUCUAACUUGACCAUACAAUGUCUGGGUGAAACUGGCAUGUGAGCUUUUACUGAGCAGUUCUUGGUUUUUCACUGAAAAAUUAGGAUGGGAGAGUGACUUGGCAGCCAUUUUGUUGCUUCUGCAUCUCCUACCCCCGACCUCAAAGGGCCCGAAGACCGCAAAGAUCCGUACCUCUCAAGCUGCUGACCAUCUGGUUAGAUUUAUGAAGGUUUGUAUGUUCUGUGAUCUUUGCCUUUCUCCAUUCCUUAGGACAGUACUUGUUAACAAUACACAGCUCCUGUUAGCCUCUCC
Molecule: long non-coding RNA, 5197 nt
Filed under: Salmo trutta (river trout)
Lineage: Eukaryota; Metazoa; Chordata; Actinopteri; Salmoniformes; Salmonidae
Description: lncRNA (ENSSTUG00000000190.1)
Source: RNAcentral